Non-coding RNA from Podarcis muralis (Common wall lizard), 848 nucleotides. The record is from RefSeq and is a predicted model, not a curated record. Lineage: Eukaryota; Metazoa; Chordata; Lepidosauria; Squamata; Lacertidae.
GCUGCAGGCCCCGCCCCCACGCGUUUCGCGCUGCGCGGGGGUUGCCGUGACAACGCGGCGCCACAUGCCCCGGCCAAGGCCAGGGAGGGGGCGGGGCUCGCGGAAAGCUCCACCUCCCCGCUUCCAAUGCCAGGCCUGAAUAUAAAUAAGCAAGAGAAUGGUCCGUGGUCGCGCGUGGUGACGCUGAUGGGAGUCCAAGCUGGCGCUGAAGGCCCGGUCGCCAGCAGCGCACGCCAGGAGGCAGCAGUGCACAAUCUCCCCAAACCGAGGGUCACGUGUGCCCGGUCACCUUUAGAACAGGGAACGAUGAUAAUAUAAUAGAUGCAGCUCCACCAGGUGGAUUGUCAAAGAUGGCACAGAUGACGAAGGGGGAUUUUGAUGGAAACACGCUUGGCACUAUCCGCCUGACCGCACACCUGAGAUAGCAAGGGCACACUCCUAGAACUGUCUUUGUGCAAGGGCACAGCAGCACCCACAGAGGAAGGAGGGCUGCAAUGGGCGUAGCCAGGAUUUAUUUUGGAGGGAGGCAGGCAUUAUGUUGCGUGGGGGGCAGAACUGAGUUAUCUGUGAUGCCCUUCUCUAUGGGGUCAUAAUUCCAUACAUGGGAUAUUUGGAACAGGAUGGUGUAGAUCUGGUACAGGAUCACAACGUGGCAAGCAACAAUUUCGGAGGCAGAAGCAACUCCCCUGCAAGAAGAAGGUUACAACAUUUGGGACUUUUUAGUUUGGAAGAAGCCUUGCCCACCCUGCUCCGGAGACCAGUCUGCAACCUGUUCCCUUUAAACAAAACACCUGAAGGAGAAAGAAGAAAAGUUAGUCUGUUUCUUUAAAUAAACAGAAUGUUCUUUA